This 253-nucleotide ribosomal RNA is filed under the name uncultured bacterium. Its description in RNAcentral is "partial 16S ribosomal RNA". It matches the Rfam family "Bacterial small subunit ribosomal RNA", at positions 524 to 776 of the family's 1533-position model. The record is from RNAcentral.
UACGUAGGGUGCAAGCGUUGUCCGGAAUUAUUGGGCGUAAAGAGCUCGUAGGCGGUCUGUUGCGUCGGCUGUGAAAACCCGGGGCUCAACUCCGGGCCUGCAGCCGAUACGGGCAGACUAGAGUUCGGCAGGGGAGACUGGAAUUCCUGGUGUAGCGGUGAAAUGCGCAGAUAUCAGGAGGAACACCGAUGGCGAAGGCAGGUCUCUGGGCAUUAACUGACGCUGAGGAACGAAAGCAUGGGGAGCGAACAGG